ACCAGAUGACGAGUCCGAAAUAAGACGAAAUGCACAUCCUGGAU
This 44-nucleotide non-coding RNA is filed under the name Trichobilharzia regenti. Lineage: Eukaryota; Metazoa; Platyhelminthes; Trematoda; Strigeidida; Schistosomatidae. The record is from RNAcentral.